AUCCAGAUGUUGAGUCCCAAAUAGGACGAAAUGCGCAUUAUCCUGGAU
Non-coding RNA from Trichobilharzia regenti, 48 nucleotides. NCBI's taxonomy places the organism in Eukaryota, Metazoa, Platyhelminthes, Trematoda, Strigeidida, Schistosomatidae. The record is from Rfam.